UACGUAGGGGGCAAGCGUUGUCCGGAAUUAUUGGGCGUAAAGCGCGCGCAGGCGGCUAUGUAAGUCUGGUGUUUAACCCCGGGGCUCAACCCCGGGUCGCACCGGAAACUGGAUAGCUUGAGUGCAGAAGAGGAAAGUGGAAUUCCACGUGUAGCGGUGAAAUGCGUAGAGAUGUGGAGGAACACCAGUGGCGAAGGCGACUUUCGGGGCUGUAACUGACGAUGAGGCGCGAAAGCGUGGGGAGCAAACAGG
Molecule: ribosomal RNA, 252 nt
Filed under: uncultured bacterium
Lineage: Bacteria
Description: partial 16S ribosomal RNA
Rfam family: Bacterial small subunit ribosomal RNA
Source: RNAcentral